RNAcentral lists this long non-coding RNA (515 nucleotides) under Mytilus galloprovincialis (Mediterranean mussel). The record is from RNAcentral. Lineage: Eukaryota; Metazoa; Mollusca; Bivalvia; Mytilida; Mytilidae.
UGUUUGUUUGUUUUAAUAGUUUAACCUUAUAGCAUCUACAUAUUUGUACUAUCAUGGUACGGUUUUGAAAAUUGUAUUCAUUGUGUGUCCAACUAUCCUACACGUCUUGAUUCAUACACAUUAUAGAUCACAUUUCAAAAGCACACUAUCGGUUUGCGUUCUCAAAAAUUCCGGAUAAAAUGUCAAUGAAUCCGGAAUCAAAACAUUUAAUGUAGGCCGUUUGACAUUCGAAUUCAAUAUUAGAUUAAGAUAUGUGAUGACGCAAAUGCGUAUUCUUUUCCUGAGUAUCAGUGAGAUGCUUUCUAUUUACUAUUUCGUGCGCUAAAAUACUACUUGCAUGUAAUACUAUUAGAUUCACUCGUGAAAGCUUAUUUUCGUUUUUGUUAUCUAAAUUCAGGACACGACAGAAAGAGCUUUACAUGUGACUUUCAAGCACGGUCAUCAUUACUAACGGUAUUCUGACCUCGAGUUAUUUCUCUUUUGUUUCUUUUUUGAGUCACUGUCCUAUUAUAAAC